GGGGAUGAUCGGAUUCGACGGAGAGUUCUUUUCAAGAAAGGCAGGUGGAGCGCGAGAUCGCUCCUAAAUCUCUCUCAAAAAAAUAAUUGCCAACACAUUGGCUAGCAAGAUCAGAAACGCUUUUGCGUCUUUGACUCUUGCACCUGUUUUCGCUUAACUAAAGCGAGAACCAUCCCGACCCUUUGGCUAAGGGGAGGGUAAACGGGGUGUCAUAACACCUUAGCGCGCCGUUGAGCUUGUUCCCGGCGAGGCGGCGCUACUUUAGGGAACUCGAUCACUGGUUGGCGCUUCGGACGAUUAGUGAUUUAAAUCAUUCCGCAAGCUAAGCCUGUAGCAUUUCUUGUUACCCACUCUUCAGACAGGGGUUCAAUUCCCCUCAUCUCCACCA
RNAcentral lists this transfer-messenger RNA (388 nucleotides) under Patescibacteria group. RNAcentral's name for it is "GWA2-46-9 sp001791425 Standard tmRNA". It matches the Rfam family "transfer-messenger RNA". From Rfam's summary of the family: Bacterial tmRNA, also known as 10Sa RNA or SsrA, is named for its dual tRNA and mRNA-like properties. Its role is to liberate the mRNA from a stalled ribosome. RNAcentral also lists the same sequence under 1 other name. The record is from RNAcentral.